RNAcentral lists this ribosomal RNA (433 nucleotides) under Rhacophorus orlovi. Its description in RNAcentral is "partial 16S ribosomal RNA". It matches the Rfam family "Bacterial large subunit ribosomal RNA", at positions 1973 to 2574 of the family's 2925-position model. The record is from RNAcentral. Lineage: Eukaryota; Metazoa; Chordata; Amphibia; Anura; Rhacophoridae.
UCUUUAAAUGGGGACUAGUAUCAACGGCAUCACGAGGGUUGCACUGUCUCCUUUUUCCAAUCAGUGAAACUGAUCCCCCCGUGAAGAAGCGGGGAUACAACAAUAAGACGAGAAGACCCCAUGGAGCUUUAAAUCUAACAGCAACUCUGCCAUACAAUUUCCCCACAACCACAGAGCAUGCAUGUAAAUUUUAGGUUGGGGCGACCGCGGAGCAAAAAUUACCCUCCACGACGAAAAGAGCUAAACCCUUAUCCUAGAGACACCCCUCCAAGAAUUAGUACACUAACGAACUAUGACCCGAUAAUCGAUUAACGGACCAAGUUACCCUGGGGAUAACAGCGCAAUCUACUUCGAGAGCCCAUAUCGACAAGUAGGCUUACGACCUCGAUGUUGGAUCAGGGUACCCAAAUGGUGCAGCCGCUAUUAAUGGUUC